Molecule: ribosomal RNA, 400 nt
Filed under: uncultured bacterium
Lineage: Bacteria
Description: bacterial SSU rRNA
Rfam family: Bacterial small subunit ribosomal RNA
Source: RNAcentral
AAUUUUGCGCAAUGGGCGAAAGCCUGACGCAGCAACGCCGCGUGAAUGACGAAGCCCUUCGGGGUGUAAAGUUCUGUCAGUGGGGACGAAAUUUGACGGUACCCGCAGAGGAAGCACCGGCUAACUCCGUGCCAGCAGCCGCGGUAAUACGGAGGGUGCAAGCGUUGUCCGGAAUCAUUGGGCGUAAAGCGUUCGUAGGCGGCAUACCCAGUCUGGUGUUAAAGCCCGAGGCUCAACCUCGGUUCAGCACUGGAUACUGGUAAGCUAGAAUGUGGUAGAGGUGAAGGGAAUUCCUGGUGUAGCGGUGAAAUGCGUAGAUAUCAGGAGGAACACCGGUGGCGUAAGCGCUUCACUGGGCCAUUAUUGACGCUGAGGAACGAAAGCCGGGGGAGCAAAUGGG